CAGAGGACCCGAGCGCUACGCGGAUUAACUGGGCUUAAAGGGUGCGUAGGCGGAAACUUAAGUGUCUUGUGAAAUCCCACGGCUCAACCGUGGAACCGCAGGGCAUACUGGGUUUCUUGAGGCUGGUAUGCGCCGCCGGAACUGUAGGUGUAGCGGUGAAAUGCGUAGAUAUCUACAGGAACGCCGAUGGCGAAGACGGGCGGCUGGGCCAGUUCUGACGCUGAGGCACGAAAGCGUGGGGAUCAAACAGGAUUAGAUACCCUGGUAGUCCACGCCGUAAACCAUGCACACUAGACCUUGGAGGCUCUGACGCCGACAGGGUCGAAGUAAAAAUGAUUAGUGUGCCGCCUGGGGAGUACGGUCGCAAGGCUA
RNAcentral lists this ribosomal RNA (372 nucleotides) under uncultured organism. RNAcentral describes it as "bacterial SSU rRNA". It matches the Rfam family "Bacterial small subunit ribosomal RNA", at positions 526 to 896 of the family's 1533-position model. The record is from RNAcentral.